GCCUUCGUGCCGUAAUGGUCAGCACACUGAGCCGGUAUUUCAGAGGUCCGCGGUUCGAUCCCCGGCGAAGGCG
This 73-nucleotide transfer RNA is filed under the name Stegodyphus mimosarum. It matches the Rfam family "tRNA". Rfam says of the family: Transfer RNA (tRNA) molecules are approximately 80 nucleotides in length. The record is from Rfam by way of RNAcentral. Lineage: Eukaryota; Metazoa; Arthropoda; Arachnida; Araneae; Eresidae.